GUAAGAUAAACUGAAAGAAUGAAGGGAGAAGCAACACAUGGAGAUAAUAAAAAAGAGGAAGGAUGAUAUAAUGAUAAUAGGAAGUAGGAUAGACUGAAAAAUUAAGAGAAGUAACAAAAAGGAGGGAAGAAAAAGAGAAAGGUCUGUGAGGUAACGAAAAGAAGGGAAUGAAAAAGAGAAAGGUCAGUGAAGUAACGAAAAGGAGGGAAUGAAAAAGAGAAAGGUCAGUGAAGUAACAAAAAGGAGGGAAUGAAAAAGAGAAAGGUCAGUGAAGUAACGAAAAGGAGGGAAUGAAAAAGAGAAAGGUCAGUGAUGUAACGAAAAGGAGGGAAUGAAAAAGAAAAAGGUCAGUGAAGUAACGAAAAGGAGGGAAUGAAAAAGAAAAAGGUCAGUGAAGUAACAAAAAGGAGGGAAUGAAAAAGAGAAAGGUCAGUGAAGUAACAAAAAGGAGGGAAUGAAAAAGAAAAAGGUCAGUGAAGUAACAAAAAGGAGGGAAUGAAAAAGAGAAAGGUCAGUGAAGUAACAAAAAAAGGAGGGAAGAAAAAAGAGAAAGGUCAGUGAAGUAACGAAAAGGAGUGAAGAAAAAGAGAAAGGUCAG
Molecule: long non-coding RNA, 598 nt
Organism: Eriocheir sinensis (Chinese mitten crab)
Lineage: Eukaryota; Metazoa; Arthropoda; Malacostraca; Decapoda; Varunidae
Exons: 3
Source: RefSeq, a predicted model, not a curated record